Molecule: long non-coding RNA, 374 nt
Organism: Neolamprologus brichardi
Lineage: Eukaryota; Metazoa; Chordata; Actinopteri; Cichliformes; Cichlidae
Source: RefSeq, a predicted model, not a curated record
UUACAGCGCCAGCAGCCGAGCGGUUUCUUUUCUAACACUGAAAUUGAAACGUGGGACCGUGGGAAAUACACUGACUUCGGAAUGACUGAUGACUGAUGAUCAAAGCGUGAGUAGGACAUUCUCUGCUGAUGGCAGUGAUGGAGAACGCAACGUGGCCACAUCCCUCAUACCUCCCACAUUAUCUCCUCCGUGGUGACCCUUUCGCCUCAAGACUCUCCAGGGAGGCGGACGUUGUUGCAGCUCUUUACGUCUGUAUCAUAGGAAUCAUGUCUGCAACAGGGAAUGGAUAUGUCAUUUAUAUGACCAUGAAACGGAAGACCAAGUUAAAGCCUCCUGAGCUCAUGACUGUUAACCUAGCCAUCUUUGAUUUUGGC